This 254-nucleotide ribosomal RNA is filed under the name uncultured bacterium. Its description in RNAcentral is "partial 16S ribosomal RNA". It matches the Rfam family "Bacterial small subunit ribosomal RNA", at positions 524 to 776 of the family's 1533-position model. The record is from RNAcentral.
GACGAACCGUGCGAACGUUAUUCGGAAUCAUUGGGCUUAAAGGGCGCGUAGGCGGCGGCGUAAGUUGGAAGUGAAAUCCCAUCGGCUCAACCGUGGAAUUGCUCCCAGUACUGCGUCGCUCGAGGGGGAUAGGGGUCUGCGGAACUACCGGUGGAGCGGUGAAAUGUGUUGAUAUCGGUGGGAACGCCAGUGGCGAAAGCGGCAGACUGGACCCUUCCUGACGCUGAGGCGCGAAAGCUAGGGGAGCAAACGGG